CCUACGGGUUGCAGCAGUAGGGAAUCUUCGGCAAUGGACGAAAGUCUGACCGAGCAACGCCGCGUGAGCGAAGAAGGUUUUCGGAUCGUAAAACUCUGUUGUUAGAGAAGAACAAGUAGGAGAGUAACUGCUCUUACCUUGACGGUAUCUAACCAGAAAGCCACGGCUAACUACGUGCCAGUAGCCGCGGUAAUACGUAGGUGGCAAGCGUUGUCCGGAUUUAUUGGGCGUAAAGCGAGCGCAGGCGGUCUUUUAAGUCUGAUGUGAAAGCCCUCGGCUCAACCGAGGAAGGUCAUUGGAAACUGGAGGACUUGAGUGCAGAAGAGGAGAGUGGAAUUCCAUGUGUAGCGGUGGAAUGCGUAGAUAUAUGGAGGAACACCAGUGGCGAAGGCGACUCUCUGGUCUGUAACUGACGCUGAGGUGCGAAAGCAUGGGGAGCAAACAGGAUUAGAUACCCUGGUAGUC
RNAcentral lists this ribosomal RNA (465 nucleotides) under uncultured bacterium. Its description in RNAcentral is "bacterial SSU rRNA". It matches the Rfam family "Bacterial small subunit ribosomal RNA", at positions 338 to 795 of the family's 1533-position model. The record is from RNAcentral.